CCCGCACAAGCAGUGGAGCAUGUGGUUUAAUUCGAAGCAACGCGAAGAACCUUACCAGGUCUUGACAUCCUCUGACCACUUGAGAGAUCAAGCUUUCCCCUUCGGGGGACAGAGUGACAGGUGGUGCAUGGUUGUCGUCAGCUCGUGUCGUGAGAUGUUGGGUUAAGUCCCGCAACGAGCGCAACCCUUGACCUUAGUUGCCAGCAUUCAGUUGGGCACUCUAAGGUGACUGCCGGUGACAAACCGGAGGAAGGUGGGGAUGACGUCAAAUCAUCAUGCCCCUUAUGACCUGGGCUACACACGUGCUACAAUGGGUGGUACAAAGGGUUGCGAAGCCGCGAGGCCGAGCCAAUCCCAAAAAGCCACUCUCAGUUCGGAUUGUAGGCUGCAACUCGCCUACAUGAAGCCGGAAUUGCUAGUAAUCGCGGAUCAGCAUGCCGCGGUGAAUACGUUCCCGGGCCUUGUACACACCGCCCGUCACACCACGAGAGUUUGUAACACCCGAAGUCGGUGGGGUAACCUUUUGGAGCCAGCCGCACGACAGGUGGGUACAAGAUGA
This 559-nucleotide ribosomal RNA is filed under the name Fictibacillus barbaricus. RNAcentral describes it as "bacterial SSU rRNA". It matches the Rfam family "Bacterial small subunit ribosomal RNA", at positions 920 to 1474 of the family's 1533-position model. Lineage: Bacteria; Bacillati; Bacillota; Bacilli; Caryophanales; Fictibacillaceae. The record is from RNAcentral.